UGCCAGCCGCCGCGGUAAUACGUAGGUGGCGAGCGUUAUCCGGAAUUACUGGGCGUAAAGGGCACGCAGGCGGCCAUUCAAGUCUGACGUGAAAGCUCCUGGCUUAACUGGGAGAGGUCGUUGGAAACUGAGUGGCUUGAGGCAAUGAGAGGGGUGCGGAAUUCCAGGUGUAGUGGUGGAAUGCGUAGAUAUCUGGAGGAACAUCAGUGGCGAAAGCGGCACCCCGGCAUUGACCUGACGCUCAUGUGCGAAAGCGUGGGGAGCGAACGGGAUUAGAUA
This 279-nucleotide ribosomal RNA is filed under the name uncultured bacterium. RNAcentral's name for it is "partial 16S ribosomal RNA". It matches the Rfam family "Bacterial small subunit ribosomal RNA", at positions 506 to 784 of the family's 1533-position model. The record is from RNAcentral.